This 477-nucleotide ribosomal RNA is filed under the name uncultured bacterium. RNAcentral describes it as "bacterial SSU rRNA". It matches the Rfam family "Bacterial small subunit ribosomal RNA", at positions 365 to 832 of the family's 1533-position model. The record is from RNAcentral.
UUCGCAAUGCCCGAAAGGGUGACGAAGCGACGCCGCGUGUGGGAAGAAGGCCUUCGGGUUGUAAACCACUGUCGGGAGUUAAGAAGUGCAAGGAUAUGAAUAGUGUCUUUGCUUGACUAAGGCUCCGGAGGAAGCCACGGCUAACUCUGUGCCAGCAGCCGCGGUAAUACAGAGGCGGCAAGCGUUGUUCGGAAUUACUGGGCGUAAAGAGCACGUAGGCGGCUAUGUAAGUCGGUUGUGAAAGUCUUCCGCUCAACGGAAGAACAGCAUCCGAUACUACAUGGCUUGAGUGCGGGAGGGGAGAGUGGAACUUCUGGUGGAGCGGUGAAAUGCGUAGAUAUCAGAAGGAACGCCGGCGGCGAAAGCGGCUCUCUGGCCCAUAACUGACGCUGGGUGUGCGAAAGCUAGGGGAGCAAACGGGAUUAGAUACCCCGGUAGUCCUAGCCGUAAACGAUGGGCACUAAGUAGAGGGGUUUU